UUUCUGAUCUCCAGCCGAUGGU
This 22-nucleotide microRNA is filed under the name Oreochromis niloticus (Nile tilapia). RNAcentral's name for it is "oni-miR-10652". Lineage: Eukaryota; Metazoa; Chordata; Actinopteri; Cichliformes; Cichlidae. The record is from miRBase by way of RNAcentral.